CGGGGUGCACCAGGCGCGAAAACUUUACAAUGCUGGCAACAGCGAUAAGGGGACCUCGAGUGCCAGGAUACAAUCUUGGCUGUCGUAAUGCCUAAAAAGCAUUGCAUAGCAAGGGCCGGGCAAGACCGGUGCCAGCCGCCGCGGUAACACCGGCGGCUCGAGUGGUAACCGCUAUUAUUGGGUCUAAAGGGUCUGUAGCCGGCCGGAUAAGUCUCUUGGGAAAUCCAGCUGCUUAACAGUUGGGCUUUCAGGAGAUACUGUUCGGCUCGAGACCGGGAGAGGUGAGAGGUACUUCAGGGGUAGGGGUGAAAUCUUGUAAUCCUUGAAGGACCACCAGUGGCGAAGGCGUCUCACCGGAACGGAUCUGACGGCAAGGGACGAAAGCUAGGGGCACGAACCGGAUUAGAUACCCGGGUAGUCCUAGCCGUAAACGAUACUCGCUAGGUGUCAGCCACGGUGCGACCGUGGUUGGUGCCGUAGGGAAGCCGUGAAGCGAGCCACCUGGGAAGUACGGCCGCAAGGCUGAAACUUAAAGGAAUUGGCGGGGGAGCACAAGGGCGAAUUCGCGGC
Molecule: ribosomal RNA, 570 nt
Filed under: uncultured archaeon
Lineage: Archaea
Description: bacterial SSU rRNA
Rfam family: Archaeal small subunit ribosomal RNA
Source: RNAcentral